Molecule: unclassified non-coding RNA, 285 nt
Filed under: uncultured fungus
Lineage: Eukaryota; Fungi
Description: partial contains small subunit ribosomal RNA, internal transcribed spacer 1, and 5.8S ribosomal RNA
Rfam family: Eukaryotic small subunit ribosomal RNA (bases 1-73)
Source: RNAcentral
ACAAACUUGGUCAUUUAGAGGAAGUAAAAGUCGUAACAAGGUCUCCGUUGGUGAACCAGCGGAGGGAUCAUUACAGGGUCUCGCGACUCUCAAACCCAACCGUGCUCUAAAAUUUACUUGCUGCUGCGGCAGGCCGCUCGCUGGGGGAGCUCCUAGGCCUGUUUACAGGUGGUCUGCCAAAGCAACCCAACCAAUUCUUUUUCAAAAAGUCACAAAAACUUUCUUGAAUCAAUUACAACCCAUAACAAUGGAUCUCUUGGCUCUGGCAUCGAUGAAGAACGCAGC